Molecule: ribosomal RNA, 500 nt
Filed under: uncultured bacterium
Lineage: Bacteria
Description: partial 16S ribosomal RNA
Rfam family: Bacterial small subunit ribosomal RNA
Source: RNAcentral
AUUGAACGCUGGCGGAAUGCUUUACACAUGCAAGUCGAACGGCAGCACGGACUUCGGUCUGGUGGCGAGUGGCGAACGGGUGAGUAAUGUAUCGGAACGUGCCCAGUCGUGGGGGAUAACGUAGUGAAAAUUACGCUAAUACCGCAUACGAUCUAUGGAUGAAAGCGGGGGAUCGCAAGACCUCGCGCGAUUGGAGCGGCCGAUAUCAGAUGAGGUAGUUGGUGGGGGAAAGGCCCACCAAGCCAACGAUCUGUAGCUGGUCUGAGAGGACGGCCAGCCACACUGGAACUGAGACACGGUCCAGACUCCUACGGGAGGCAGCAGUGGGGAAUUUUGGACAAUGGGCGAAAGCCUGAUCCAGCCAUUCCGCGUGCAGGAUGAAGGCCCUCGGGUUGUAAACUGCUUUUGUACAGAACGAAAAGGUUUCUACUAAUACUAGGAGCUCAUGACGGUACUGUAAGAAUAAGCACCGGCUAACUACGUGCCAGCAGCCGCCGUAA